UGGGGAAUCUUGCGCAAUGGGCGAAAGCCUGACGCAGCAACGCCGCGUGCGGGAUGACGGCCUUCGUGGUUGUAAACCGCUUUCAGCAGGGACGAAAAUGACGGUACCUGCAGAAGAAGCCCCGGCUAACUACGUGCCAGCAGCCGCGGUAAUACGUAGGGGGCAAGCGUUGUCCGGAUUCAUUGGGCGUAAAGAGCUCGUAGGCGGUUCAGUAAGUCGGGUGGGGAAGCUCCGAGCUCAACUCGGAGAGGCCACCCGAUACUGCUGUGACUUGAGUCCAGUAGAGGAGCGUGGAACUCCUGGUGUAGCGGUGGAAUGCGCAGAUAUCAGGAAGAACACCGGCAGCGAAGGCGGCGCUCUGGGCUGGAACUGACGCUGAGGAGCGAAAGCGUGGGUAGCAAACA
This 404-nucleotide ribosomal RNA is filed under the name uncultured prokaryote. Its description in RNAcentral is "bacterial SSU rRNA". It matches the Rfam family "Bacterial small subunit ribosomal RNA", at positions 355 to 774 of the family's 1533-position model. The record is from RNAcentral.